ACACAUGCAGUCGAACGAUGAAGCCAGCUUGCUGGUGGAUUAGUGGCGAACGGGUGAGUAACACGUGAGUAACCUGCCCUUGACUCUGGGAUAAGCCUGGGAAACCGGGUCUAAUACUGGAUACGACCUUCCCACGCAUGUGGUGUUGGUGGAAAGCUUUUGUGGUUUUGGAUGGACUCGCGGCCUAUCAGCUUGUUGGUGGGGUAAUGGCCUACCAAGGCGACGACGGGUAGCCGGCCUGAGAGGGUGACCGGCCACACUGGGACUGAGACACGGCCCAGACUCCUACGGGAGGCAGCAGUGGGGAAUAUUGCACAAUGGGCGCAAGCCUGAUGCAGCGACGCCGCGUGAGGGAUGAAGGCCUUCGGGUUGUAAACCUCUUUCAGUAGGGAAGAAGCUGAUCCUUUGGGUUGGUGACGGUACCUGCAGAAGAAGCGCCGGCUAACUACGUGCCAGC
RNAcentral lists this ribosomal RNA (457 nucleotides) under Arthrobacter sp. RNAcentral describes it as "bacterial SSU rRNA". It matches the Rfam family "Bacterial small subunit ribosomal RNA", at positions 51 to 512 of the family's 1533-position model. The record is from RNAcentral. Lineage: Bacteria; Bacillati; Actinomycetota; Actinomycetes; Micrococcales; Micrococcaceae.